CUGAAACCGUGUACGUACAAGCAGUGGGAGCCUCUUAAUGGGGUGACUGCGUACCUUUUGUAUAAUGGGUCAGCGACUUAUAUUCUGUAGCAAGGUUAACCGAAUAGGGGAGCCGAAGGGAAACCGAGUCUUAACUGGGCGUUAAGUUGCAGGGUAUAGACCCGAAACCCGGUGAUCUAGCCAUGGGCAGGUUGAAGGUUGGGUAACACUAACUGGAGGACCGAACCGACUAAUGUUGAAAAAUUAGCGGAUGACUUGUGGCUGGGGGUGAAAGGCCAAUCAAACCGGGAGAUAGCUGGUUCUCCCCGAAAGCUAUUUAGGUAGCGCCUCGUGAAUUCAUCUCCGGGGGUAGAGCACUGUUUCGGCAAGGGGGUCAUCCCGACUUACCAACCCGAUGCAAACUGCGAAUACCGGAGAAUGUUAUCACGGGAGACACACGGCGGGUGCUAACGUCCGUCGUGAAGAGGGAAACAACCCAGACCGCCAGCUAAGGUCCCAAAGUCAUGGUUAAGUGGGAAACGAUGUGGGAAGGCCCAGACAGCCAGGAUGUUGGCUUAGAAGCAGCCAUCAUUUAAAGAAAGCGUAAUAGCUCACUGGUCGAGUCGGCCUGCGCGGAAGAUGUAACGGGGCUAAACCAUGCACCGAAGCUGCGGCAGCGACACUAUGUGUUGUUGGGUAGGGGAGCGUUCUGUAAGCCUGUGAAGGUGGCCUGUGAGGGUUGCUGGAGGUAUCAGAAGUGCGAAUGCUGACAUAAGUAACGAUAAAGCGGGUGAAAAGCCCGCUCGCCGGAAGACCAAGGGUUCCUGUCCAACGUUAAUCGGGGCAGGGUGAGUCGACCCCUAAGGCGAGGCCGAAAGGCGUAGUCGAUGGGAAACAGGUUAAUAUUCCUGUACUUGGUGUUACUGCGAAGGGGGGACGGAGAAGGCUAUGUUGGCCGGGCGACGGUUGUCCCGGUUUAAGCGUGUAGGCUGGUUUUCCAGGCAAAUCCGGAAAAUCAAGGCUGAGGCGUGAUGACGAGGCACUACGGUGCUGAAGCGACAAAUGCCCUGCUUCCAGGAAAAGCCUCUAAGCAUCAGGUAACAUCAAAUCGUACCCCAAACCGACACAGGUGGUCAGGUAGAGAAUACCAAGGCGCUUGAGAGAACUCGGGUGAAGGAACUAGGCAAAAUGGUGCCGUAACUUCGGGAGAAGGCACGCUGAUAUGUAGGUGAAGCGACUUGCUCGUGGAGCUGAAAUCAGUCGAAGAUACCAGCUGGCUGCAACUGUUUAUUAAAAACACAGCACUGUGCAAACACGAAAGUGGACGUAUACGGUGUGACGCCUGCCCGGUGCCGGAAGGUUAAUUGAUGGGGUUAGCGGUAACGCGAAGCUCUUGAUCGAAGCCCCGGUAAACGGCGGCCGUAACUAUAACGGUCCUAAGGUAGCGAAAUUCCUUGUCGGGUAAGUUCCGACCUGCACGAAUGGCGUAAUGAUGGCCAGGCUGUCUCCACCCGAGACUCAGUGAAAUUGAACUCGCUGUGAAGAUGCAGUGUACCCGCGGCAAGACGGAAAGACCCCGUGAACCUUUACUAUAGCUUGACACUGAACAUUGAGCCUUGAUGUGUAGGAUAGGUGGGAGGCUUUGAAGUGUGGACGCCAGUCUGCAUGGAGCCGACCUUGAAAUACCACCCUUUAAUGUUUGAUGUUCUAACGUGGGCCCCUUACCGGGGUUGCGGACAGUGUCUGGUGGGUAGUUUGACUGGGGCGGUCUCCUCCUAAAGAGUAACGGAGGAGCACGAAGGUUGGCUAAUCCUGGUCGGACAUCAGGAGGUUAGUGCAAUGGCAUAAGCCAGCUUGACUGCGAGCGUGACGGCGCGAGCAGGUGCGAAAGCAGGUCAUAGUGAUCCGGUGGUUCUGAAUGGAAGGGCCAUCGCUCAACGGAUAAAAGGUACUCCGGGGAUAACAGGCUGAUACCGCCCAAGAGUUCAUAUCGACGGCGGUGUUUGGCACCUCGAUGUCGGCUCAUCACAUCCUGGGGCUGAAGUAGGUCCCAAGGGUAUGGCUGUUCGCCAUUUAAAGUGGUACGCGAGCUGGGUUUAGAACGUCGUGAGACAGUUCGGUCCCUAUCUGCCGUGGGCGCUGGAGAACUGAGGGGGGCUGCUCCUAGUACGAGAGGACCGGAGUGGACGCAUCACUGGUGUUCGGGUUGUCAUGCCAAUGGCACUGCCCGGUAGCUAAAUGCGGAAGAGAUAAGUGCUGAAAGCAUCUAAGCACGAAACUUGCCCCGAGAUGAGUUCUCCCUGACUCCUUGAGAGUCCUGAAGGAACGUUGAAGACGACGACGUUGAUAGGCCGGGUGUGUAAGCGCAGCGAUGCGUUGAGCUAACCGGUACUAAUGAACCGUGAGGCUUAACCUUACAACGCCGAAG
RNAcentral lists this ribosomal RNA (2407 nucleotides) under Escherichia coli. RNAcentral's name for it is "partial 23S ribosomal RNA". It matches the Rfam family "Bacterial large subunit ribosomal RNA", at positions 550 to 2925 of the family's 2925-position model. The record is from RNAcentral. Lineage: Bacteria; Pseudomonadati; Pseudomonadota; Gammaproteobacteria; Enterobacterales; Enterobacteriaceae.